Molecule: ribosomal RNA, 468 nt
Filed under: uncultured bacterium
Lineage: Bacteria
Description: partial 16S ribosomal RNA
Rfam family: Bacterial small subunit ribosomal RNA
Source: RNAcentral
GACGAACGCUGGCGGCGCGCCUAACACAUGCAAGUCGAACGGAGCUGAGAGAAGCUUUCUUUUCUUAGCUUAGUGGCGAACGGGUGAGUAACGCGUGAGUAACCUGCCCUGGAGUGGGGGACAACAGUUGGAAACGACUGCUAAUACCGCAUAAGCCCACGAUCCGGCAUCGGAUUGAGGGAAAAGGAUUUAUUCGCUUCAGGAUGGACUCUCGUCCAAUUAGCUAGUUGGUGAGGUAACGGCCCACCAAGGCGACGAUUGGCAGCCGGACUGUGAGGUUGAACCGAGACAUUGGGACUGAGCCACGGCCGAGACUACUACGGGAGGCAGCAGUGGGGGAUAUUGCAAAAUGGGGGAAACGAUGAUGGAGCGACGGCGGGUGGAGGAAGAAGGUUGUCGGAUUGUAAACUCCUGUCAUUAGGGACGAUAAUGACGGUACCUAAAAAGAAAGCACCGGCUAACUACGUG